This 69-nucleotide transfer RNA is filed under the name Crystallogobius linearis (crystal goby). RNAcentral's name for it is "tRNA-Ser". The record is from RNAcentral. Lineage: Eukaryota; Metazoa; Chordata; Actinopteri; Gobiiformes; Gobiidae.
GAGAAAGGCUUGCCAGCAACGAAGACUGCUAAUCCUCGUCCCCUUCGGUUGAACUCCGAGGCUCUCUCA